This is a long non-coding RNA of Polypterus senegalus (gray bichir), 353 nucleotides long. RefSeq lists it as uncharacterized. The record is from RefSeq and is a predicted model, not a curated record. Lineage: Eukaryota; Metazoa; Chordata; Cladistia; Polypteriformes; Polypteridae. The transcript is spliced from 2 exons.
ACAACCCAUUUGAGAUGAUGUGAGCUUUGUGACAUGGCACGUUAUCCUGCUGGAAGGAGCCAUCAGAUGAUGGGCAUGCUGCAAUCACAAAGGGAUGGACAUGGACAGCAACAAUACUCAGUGCCGAGAAACUCCACCCCCAGCGUCCCAGAGGCCACGCCCAUGUGGACUAGGACACUGUAAAACCGAGACACUCCCAGAAAAGGGCAUCUCACUUCAGGGAGAAGCCUCCACUUGAUGCCACUCAUACGAGCCUACUGAGCCAACAUUUACAACGUCUGAUUCCUGUUGUGCCACCAACUGCUUAUUGUGUUCAGUUUUUUGGACAAUUGUAUUAAACAGUGUGGCCCGAU